UGCAAUUCGUAUCCAACAUAAUAUAAACAUAAAUCUAUCAAAAAUAUUUCCUAGAAAAUGGUUGACUUGCAACUUGAUCAAACACUCACAAUAGGAGGGGCCCACCUUUUUUUUUUUGGAGUUUUUAAUGCACGUGGGUCCCACAUGCAUUGUGAGUGUAGGUCAAUGAUUCUGUCAUGCAUUUUCUGUCAAGUUAGAUUAAUUCAAGUUAUAAUGUGAUUCGAAGGUCUACAGUACUCUAUAUGAUUCAUUAUUUGCAAGUUAGAAUUUAACCACAUGCAUCUUAUGCAUUUUAUCUAGAUUGGAAAGUUGUAAAUCUUGAAAGAAAACUAAAUUACACGCACGAAAUCUUCCUUUCUUUCCUUUCUAUUAUUUGGCUCUCGGCUUCUGCUUGUGGAUUUUAGAUCUCUCCUUUGCUUUGAGGUAAAUCAUAUAUGCACAUCCUAGACCAAUUCAAAUAUGCCUACUUAACAAGUAAUUAUACUAAGUUCUUGGUAAAGCUUUCAUUUGUUAAAAAAAAUAUUAAAUUUUGUUUUUAAUCAGACAUUUUAUUGGAUCCAUAACUUUCAUUCACUUUUCAAGUGCACAUUUCAUAAAUUUAUCAAAUUUUUAUCAACUUUGAGUAACAUCACAAAUUCCCUAAAUCAUGGUCGAAUUAAAUCCUAUCGAAUUUAAGCCAAUCAAAUAAACAGUUAGUGGCUUGGUGUGAUUAGGAUUUGAUAACUCUAAUUUUCUGUAUGAAAUCACUUUAAUUUAGGAUAAAAUCUAGACAAGUUCACUUUGGACUACCUUUUUUAUUUUUUAUUUUAUUUCUUU
This 816-nucleotide long non-coding RNA is filed under the name Olea europaea subsp. europaea. The record is from RNAcentral. Lineage: Eukaryota; Viridiplantae; Streptophyta; Magnoliopsida; Lamiales; Oleaceae.